This is a long non-coding RNA of Octopus sinensis (East Asian common octopus), 115 nucleotides long. RefSeq lists it as uncharacterized. Lineage: Eukaryota; Metazoa; Mollusca; Cephalopoda; Octopoda; Octopodidae. The transcript is spliced from 3 exons. The record is from RefSeq and is a predicted model, not a curated record.
UGGAGAGGGAAGUGUUGCGUUCAAGCAAGUUUAUUGAAAAAUGGGUGAAUGUUGAAAGAAUGGCCAGUGUGAAAGGCCCAAUUCUGCGCACUUCAUUAAAGAAAAGGAAAAGGGC